This is an RNA transcript of Nylanderia fulva, 7288 nucleotides long. It is a transcript of the gene named HEAT repeat-containing protein 5B, with no coding region annotated. The record is from RefSeq and is a predicted model, not a curated record. Lineage: Eukaryota; Metazoa; Arthropoda; Insecta; Hymenoptera; Formicidae.
GAUUGGUCGAUCGACGAGGAGAGAUUUUAUUUGCACCAUUUGUCAUCCGUGUAUGGAAGAGGCCGAGAGCUCUUGUCGCGAUAAUUCGUAUUCGCAAUGCAAGUGGGAUAAUGUUAUCGUCAGCGGUAUUUUGAAGGAUCAAUUUGCAAACGGGAAUUUCCGCAAUUUUCAGUUUUAUGUCAACGCGAUGAAGUGUCAUUCUGUGCCGAGGAUUCUACGUGGUGUACGAUAAAAAUGUCUCUGCCCAUCUGAGCGAUAAGAUUUCAAUUUUCUCGAGAGGAGAGUGAGUGACACAUUUUAGAGCAACCUGUGUAUAUGUGUGUCUACUUAAAACAAUGAUGGAGUUGAGUCAUAGUCUGACCCUCAACGAGGAUGCGCUUAAUCAAAUCCCGGAGGCUAAGCGGCCGGUCUUUAUUUUCGAGUGGUUGCGCUUCCUGGAUAAAGUUCUGGUUGCCGCUCAAAAGAAUGAUAUUAAAGGAUGUCAGCAAAAGUUGGUGGAACAGUUGACCAGACAUAUGCAAGGAGCUCCUGGUCCACCUACACGACGUCUCAUAGCUAGAUGUCUUGCUACUCUAUUCAGUGUCGGCGAUACAUUCUUGCUUUUUGACACUGUCAAUAAAUGCAAUGACAUCUUGAGAAAUAAAGAUGAUUCACCAAGCUUCUUACCCACAAAAUUAGCUGCUAUUUGCUGUGUGGGAUGCAUGUAUGAAAAAUUGGGAAGAAUGAUGGGCAGAUCAUAUGAGGAAACUGUACAGAUCCUAAUAAAGUCUUUGCGUUCUGCUGAGUCUCAAAUGCGGAUAGAGAUUAUGCAUACUUUAGAAAAGGUGUGUGCUGGGAUGGGAUCAGCAAUAACCAAUGUGCAUAAGGAAAUAUACAAAGUUUCCAGGCAUUACCUAACCGACAGAGUGAUGGCAGUGAGAUGUGCUGCUGCUAAGUGCUUGUUGGAAAUGUUGAAUCACGCUCCAUUUUUAUAUACGACUGAGAUUGAAAGUGUUGCGACAUUAUGCUUUCGUGCGUUUGAAGGCUCGAAUUAUGAAGUGAGAUGCUCUGUAGCUAAAUUAUUGGGCACCUUGGUGGCAAUGACGCAGCUUCCUUCACCCAAGAUGAAAAAUCUUACAGUUACGCACAAUAAAGGUGUUAGACAGACAUCGCUUGAAGAAGUGUUGAACAUCUUGAUGUCUGGAUUUUUGAGAGGCGGCGUUGGCUUCCUAAAAGGAACGGGCGAGAUAAUAAAAGGAAGUUCUAGCAUAAAUAGAGAAGUGCGAGUCGGAGUGACACAUGCAUACGUGGUGUUUGUUCAAAUGCUAGGUGGCACUUGGCUGGAACGCAAUAUCGGCGCGCUAAUCGCACACGUUUUAGACCUGGUUACAAAUCCGAAAGCCGCUAGUUCGCACGUCGAGGCGGUAUAUUCGCGCAAAUGCGUCAAUUUUAUAUUACGCGGUACUGUCGGCAAACUGUUGGGAGAAGGCGCUCAGGCUGCCGCUUGCAAGGAGAUAGCUCAUAUUAUUCUGAAGCAGAUGAAUUCUAUCGAUUUCAGUCCGGAAAACGCCAAGGACUGCAAUCAGGAGACAUUAUUCAGCCAGCAUUUGUUAGUGUGUGCAUUACAAGAAAUGGGCUGUCUAAUACUGGGAUUAGGCACUACAGCCACGAAUUUAUUAUCCGAUCAGUCACUAAAUCUGAUCGAUACUAUAAUGGCUGUCCUGGUACAUCCGUGUCAAGCCGCUAGACUGGCAGCAUCUUGGUGUUUACGGUGCAUUUGCGUCGCAGUACCGAGUCAAAUAACGCCGUUGAUCGACCGUUGCGUCGACGGAAUCGAGAAUAUGCGAAGCUCACCAGAAGCUAUAGCCGGUUAUAGCAGCGCUCUCGCUGCGGUGCUGGGAAGCGUUCGUCUGUCACCCUUGGGUGUCCCACAUACUAAGGGAAAGAUAAUUUUCAAUACGGCGGAAGAACUACUGAGGAGCGCCAGUCAAAACAGUCGUUUAUCUUUAAAUCGUACGCACGCAGGAUGGCUCUUGAUAGGAGCGAUAAUGACUCUAGGUACGGCAGUAGUGAAGGGCCUACUGCCGAGAAUGUUACUUCUAUGGAGAAAUUCCUUCCCACGCUCGAACAAGGAACUCGAAAGCGAGAAAGCACGCGGUGACGCCUUCACAUGGCAGGUGACUCUGGAAGGACGUGCUGGCGCGCUGUCCGCCAUGUACAGCUUUCUAUUACAUUGCCCUGAGCUUUUAAAUGAUGAUAUCACACGGCGAUUACUCACGCCGAUCGAGUCCGCUUUGGCAAUGCUGACAAAUUUGUCACCCGUUUUGAAGAAUUACGGCCAACAACUGAAAGCUCCCGCUGCUAUGGUUCGUUUACGCUUAUACGAAACGUUGUUGCUGCUACCGCCGCAAACGUUCGAAGGUUCUUACACACAUCUUCUAAGGAUGCUCGUGUCAGAGUUUACGCUUACGGACAACCCUGGAAAUACGACUACUUCUUUAUUGCGUGUAGUUUGUCAUGCUAACGAUUCUGUGAUCCUUGGUACAUGGCUACAGGAGACUGAUCAUCGUACAAUAGAAGAUCAAAUGGAACCAAACAGAAGGGCAGAUUUGGAACAUCUUCAACCAAAUAGUGCUGCAGGAUCCGGGGCAUUGGAGCACAAUACAUGCUGUCUUUAUAGACCAAUGCCACGUAUUGAAAUAAUACCUGGUCCUUUACCAUUGGGUGUAGCAGUGAUUGAUUUAUCGGUUGCGUUAUUUGGCCAGAUAUUCCCGCGCGUAGCAAACAAGCAUAGACUGCAGAUGUUGGAUCAUUUCAGCGAGUGCAUAAAACACACCAAAUCCGGAAGACAGGAAGCGAUACAGAUGAACGUGUUCACUGCUGUGUUGAGCGGCUUGAAAGGCCUCAACGAAGCAAAAACGGGCUUUGGACAAGAGGACGUCAAGAAAUCCGCCACUAAUCUUAUCAUUAGCACACUAGUCAGUGGCAAUCCUAUUUUACGAUGGGCGGCGGGAGAGGCAGUCGGCAGAAUGGCUCAAGUAAUUUCCGAUCCCAAGUUUACCGCUGAAUUGGCGCAGACCAGUUUCGAUCGUCUGAAAUCAGCCCGUGACGUCGCCAGCAGAACCGGCCAUUCGUUGGCGUUAGGUUGUCUCCACAAGUAUGUCGGCGGUAUGGGUUCCAGUCAGCAUCUUAACACUAGCGUCAGCAUCUUGCUCGCACUUGCUCAGGAUAACUCGUCUCCUGUAGUACAAGUUUGGGCAUUGCACGCUCUAGCUCUGAUAGCUGAUUCUGGUGGACCAAUGUUCAGGGGCUAUGUGGAACCUACACUGUCCUUGGCACUGACCCUUCUUCUCAAUGUUCCUCACUCUUACAUCGAUGUACAUCAGUGCAUCGGAAAAGUUUUAUCAGCACUUAUCACUACGAUAGGACCCGAAUUACAAGGUAAUACAUCAACGAUUUGCAUGGCACGGUCGUCAUUUUUGUGCGCGUGUGCCAUCAUGCAGGAUCAUCAGGAUCCGCUCGUUCAAGCCGAGGCAACUGGCUGCCUUCAACAGUUGCAUCUCUUCGCACCCAGACAUGUUAAUCUGUCUUCCCUCGUUCCCACAUUAUGCCGUACUCUAUCGAGUAAUCAUUUACUUUUGCGUAAAGCUGCAAUAUCGUGCCUUCGACAGCUCGCUCAACGCGAAGCGAAGGAAGUGUGCGAGCACGCGAUGACGUUGGCCAACGAAAGCAGAGACACCAACGUGGUGGAGGGUCUCGUCAUCACUGAGACCGGAUUACCAGGCGUGCUGUUUAGUAUGCUGGAUACAGAAACUGACAGUAAACUGAUCAAAGACAUACAUGACACUUUGACGAGCAUGUUACAGAUAUUAGCGGCCGACAAUCUGUCUCAGUGGUUGUCGUUAUGCAAAGACGUUCUCACGAUAGCUUCAGAAUCAAGUACAAUCGAGGAAGGUAACGCGGCGAAUGCGGAUGACAGCACCACUGACAAUGAGUCAGCCGACGCGGAGGGUGACGAUGAUCAGGCUGAAUUUCACGCCGACGAAUCCACCAAGCAACGGCCGUCCAUCACGCCGAGGUGGCCGACCAGAGUCUUCGCGGCGCAAUGCGUCAGACGCAUCGUCGCGGCCUGCGUGAACAAUAAACAGGCGCAUUUCGAUCUCGCUUUGGCGAAAGAGAUGCAACUGUCUAAGGGAAAAGGAGAUUUUCUGGUGCUACACCUGUCAGAUCUGGUGCGCAUGGCGUUUAUGGCUGCGACAAGCGAUUGCGAUCCGUUGCGGCUCGAAGGUCUGAAAACUCUGCAAGAAAUCAUUGAUAAAUUCGCUAAAGUUCCCGAACCGGAGUUUCCCGGGCAUUUAUUGCUGGAGCAGUUCCAGGCACAGGUUGGAGCUGCUUUAAGACCAGCGUUUUCCGCGGAAACACCGUCGCAUGUUACUGCCGCGGCCUGUGAGGCUUGCAGCGCAUGGAUCGGCAGCGGCGUCGCCAGGGAUCUCAAUGAUCUGCGAAGAGUCCAUCAGUUGCUCGUGUCGUCCCUGGAGAAAUUGCGGGAGGGUAAUACUCGACCGCAACUUUAUAACGAGAGCUUGUCGACAUUGGAGAGAUUGGCAAUUUUAAAAGCGUGGGCUGAGGUGUACGUAGUCGCGAUGAUACGGGACGGAUCCGCGCUAAACAGCAAAGAUACAGCUAAUCGAAACGCAAAUCAACCCGACGAAGGAAACAAUGAGGAAGACUUUGGGGAAUUCGAGUUUCAGAGCGAAAGUCUACUGAGCCUUGUCCAACCGGAGCUUCUGAGUCUGAGUCAACAUUGGCUAUCCGCACUGCGGGAUCAUGCCUUGUUGUCUUUGCCGCCAGAAUUCUCCAGUCAAUUGCCGCAUGAUGGUGGUGCCUUUUACACGACGGACACUAUGGAAUCCGCGCGUCCUCAUUAUGUAGAAUCAUGGGCGCCAAUUCUUCAUGCUGCAACUCUCUGGCUCAAUGCGAGGGGAUUCGAAAUGGAUAAUAAUAAUCAAGAGAAAACUGCAAAUGCCACCAAUAAUAACAAUCAUAACAAUAAUAACAAUAACGAUGAGGCCGCUGCUGCCUCUAAAACUAAUAUGAAUGUUGGACGCUUUCACUUGUUAUUUGGUAUAUGUAUGGAAGCUUUGUGCAGUCCUCGCUCUUCUGAAUCUCCACAAAAUAUAGAGACGUGCUUAAAUGCUUUAUACACGCUGCUCGAUUCAACGUGGGCGCGUAAGGUCUUUAUCGCGGACUGUUCCUUACCCAUUGAAUUAUGCAACGUUCUUCAUAGGUUGCUCUUAACGCGAGAGAGUUACGUCAUCCAAAUGAUAGUAAUGGAGGUGUUGAAACAAGUGAUGAAAGCGGCACAGGAAGAUUUGGCUGCAAGGAAAAAAUUGAAGCUCCGAGAUGCCACAUCAGCAAAUGAAGAAAACAACGAAAUGUCGGAAGUGGAUUUGCUGGGCGAAGGAAAGGAAAGCGGCGAACUUGUACCGGGCAAAUCGUUAGUAUUUGCCACCCUGGAAGUGUGCCUGUGUCUUUUGGUACGACAGAUACCGGCGUUAAAUCCGAAUCCGGGUGGUGCCACUGCUAUCCUGUCUCAAAAAGGAUACAUACCUUCUGAGGAGAGCGGCAAACUCAUCUCGUUGUCCCUCAAUAUAAUAGAAUCUCUUCCCACUUUAUGUUCUCCGCAAGGCGCAAUAGCAAUUCUCCCGACACUGCUGUACUUGGCGACUGGUGUAAUACGAGAAACCGCAGUGCGCACAGAUAACGAGAACACCAAACUCGGUGCGGAGGCACCAGUUCACGCCGCGUUGCACUGCGUCAAGAGUCUUAUCACUAACAAGUAUGCCCGAGAUCACAGAAGUCAGGAGCAAUGGACCGGAUUACUGCGAAGCGCACUUGCCAAGAUUAUCGAUCUGGCCAAGACAGGCAAUGAUGAAACAAAGAUGGACGAGGUAGCCAUGAUGCUGGGUAUCGCGGUGUUCGUGCUUCACGCGUCAUCAGAAGUAGUGAGUGCUCCGAAUCUGCAAUUCCCGUGUAUCAAUCACUUCCGACACGCAUUCCAGUCUGAAAAUCUGACGGUAAAACUAAAAUGCGUGCAAACGUUAAGAACGAUAUUUCUGCAUCCGGAACGUAAUAUAAGCACUCCGUACAUCCACGCGCUCGCGCCACGACUGGUAGAAUAUCUGUACAGUGAUAAGAGCAAACAAGUCACGGACGAUAUGGAAUUGACCUUCACGUUGGAAUGCGUUAGUACGGUGGAAGCUCUCAUAGGACUCGCCGAUCUUUCUAAUCGAGAUCUAUUACAAGGUAUUCAAAUGCUGACUCUACUUGUGCCAAUUUUAAUCAACUACUUGCUGGAAGGAGACGAGCUUCAACGCGCUACUAAGUAUCAGGCGAGCCUUCACCAACAGAGCUUUCAAUGGCUGAAUAAGAUCGGGCCCAAGUAUCCGCAGGAAUUUAAAACACUGAUGUCACAGUCUACCGAACUGAAGACUAAAUUAGAGAACGCUGUAAGGACUAGCCAUUUGCAGGCGCAACGACAUACUCGUCAAGUUGAUCCUGUGAAACCGCAGAUCAAGAUAUCCGCGCCGUCAAUAAAACUGAAAACGGAUUUCUCCAACUUUAAUUAGAGAAGAAAUAUAAUCUGUUACAGGUCAAAGGUAAUCUAUUAGAAUCGUGUGAAAGAUAUUAAAUAACGACAUUAGCGAUUCUGUUGUAAUAGAGUAACGUGGUUAGGUUAGAUUUACAUCAAGACGACUGACUUCAUUGAUUAUCGAUCAGAAGAAAUGAAGCAAGAAUGAAUUGUGUGGCAUAAGAUGUAUAUUAGGAAACAUAAUUUGAAAAUCUGUGUGUGGACUUGUUACACCACAAUAAUUGUCUUUCCAUUUAAAAUUCGAUAUAGCAGCCACUCUCACAACGUAUGUAUAGAAUUAAUUUCGAAAAUUGCAUUUUAGAUCUGGUGUAUCAUUGAUAAAAAUUUUCUAGGAAUAUGGAGAAUUAUUUUAAUUGCGCAGAAAGGAUUAUUUGCUCGAUAAAUGUUCAACUAUUUUUAUAUGAUUAUUUUAGAGAAUAUACAUUAAUCUCGUAUACAACUUUUAAUUGCUUGCAGCAUUUGCGUUUAUAUACAUAUUUAAUAUAUUGUAUAUCUGAUCCAUCGAACUUCCAUGUACAAUGAGUUUAUCAUGUUUAUCAUGUUUUAUUCAAUCAACAGGAAUCCUCUCUGAUGAACGGUACAAUUGUGUAAUGGUGCAAUUAUACGUUAUAUUGCUGCUGUAAUCGACAGAAAUAAAAAUCACUUAAUUCAACUGCA